GGAUUAGAUACCCUGGUAGUCCAUGCCGUAAACGUUGGGCACUAGGUGUGGGGGACAUUCCACGUUCUCCGCGCCGUAGCUAACGCAUUAAGUGCCCCGCCUGGGGAGUACGGUCGCAAGGCUAAAACUCAAAGGAAUUGACGGGGGCCCGCACAAGCGGCGGAGCAUGCGGAUUAAUUCGAUGCAACGCGAAGAACCUUACCAAGGCUUGACAUACACCAGACCGUUCUGGAAACAGUUCCUCCCCUUUGGGGUUGGUGUACAGGUGGUGCAUGGUCGUCGUCAGCUCGUGCUG
This 295-nucleotide ribosomal RNA is filed under the name uncultured bacterium. RNAcentral describes it as "partial 16S ribosomal RNA". It matches the Rfam family "Bacterial small subunit ribosomal RNA", at positions 775 to 1067 of the family's 1533-position model. The record is from RNAcentral.